GACGAACGCUGGCGGCGUGCUUAAUACAUGCAAGUCGAACGGACAGGCGCUUUCCUUUCUGGCUGGAGCGGAGGAGUGGCGAAGCGGUGAGUAACACGUCAGGAACCUGCCCUCCUCUGCUGGAUAACCGCAUGAAAGUGUGGGUUAUAUAGGACAUCCUGAUUCUGUUUCUUGAUGGGUCUGGGAAAGAUAUUGUCUCUGUCGGCGCUGGGCUUGCGGCCUAUCAGGUGGUUGGUGGGGUGAUGGCCUACGAAUGAGGUGACAGGUGGCCGGUGUGAGAGAGUGGCCGCUCACACUGGGAGUGAGACACCAGCCAGAUUCGUGCGGGAGGCGGCAGGGGGGAAUAGUGCAAGAUGGGAGCAAGCCUGAUGCAGCGACGCUGCGUGAGGGAUGGAUGCCGUCGGGUUGUGAACCUCGUACGCGAAGGAAGCGGGUGUGACUCGUUUGUGGGUGCGUUGACGGUAGCUGAAUAAGAAGCGACGGCUAACUACGUG
Molecule: ribosomal RNA, 494 nt
Filed under: uncultured bacterium
Lineage: Bacteria
Description: partial 16S ribosomal RNA
Rfam family: Bacterial small subunit ribosomal RNA
Source: RNAcentral